Molecule: long non-coding RNA, 3100 nt
Organism: Lycium barbarum (goji berry)
Lineage: Eukaryota; Viridiplantae; Streptophyta; Magnoliopsida; Solanales; Solanaceae
Exons: 3
Source: RefSeq, a predicted model, not a curated record
UUGUAUUCGUUAAUGAUAAUAUAAGUAAGGGAAAAGAUUCAGAAUCAGCCAUUGUUGUAUCUCUAUCCUCAGUGCGUGUGACAGCACAUGGAGCGGUUGAGCUGAAGUCGCUGAAUUCUGACGAGUCGUUUUUGGUGAAUGGGCAACGAGUGAAGCACUACUUUGGAGAGGUCAUUGACUGCGAGAGGACCUCGGUGGAACUGGAAGAGGCUUGAGAGAGCCUGCGUCGUGCCACGACGUUAAAUCAGGCGCUUCUCGGAAGGCAACCCGUGCUUGUAACAUUAGCACAAAAAAAGUAAAAAAAAAAAAAAAACACACAAAAAAUGUCGUGCCACGACCUUAACUAAGGCGCUUGUUGGGAGGCAACCCAUCUUUUUUAUAGCUAUAUGUCACGUUUGCUCAUGUUGCAGGACUAAGGAAGGAGCGAGAACGCAAAACAUGCGAAAAUAGUCAAAAAAUCGCUCCAGGUUUGUCGUAUGUGUCGGACCCGCGACACGGGACCAAUGCGUCUGAGGAGUUUUGACAGAGACAAAUUUUUGUGUUUGGUACUCGCGUCGCGGAUCUAACGCCUGAUUAGAUUUUUGACAGAGAUGUAAGAUUGCGCGUUACACCCGCGACGAGUGUUUAACGCUUGACGUGAGUUUUGACUAAGAGGUAAGUUUGGACGAUUGACCCGCGACACAGGUCCAACGCUUCUUGGGGCCCAGUCCGAAUUUUUUUAAAGGUAAAAGACUACGAGUCCCCUUUUGUCAUGCUCACUUUCCCACCUCUCUCAAACUCUCCAAAAUCGAAAAAAAAAAAAACCUCCCUAAACCCUUUCUUUCAAGGAUCAAAACUCAAGAACUCUCAUCCAUUCUCCAUUAAUCAAACAAUGAAAAUGGUUAACACAAAGAACAAAGGGAAGUAUACCGCCACCUCCUCUCAAGGCACAAAACGAGGGAGAGCGAACCCCCCAAAGGCUAAAAAGACAAUCAAAUCGCUAUCGGCGGUAAGAACCAACCAUUCCUAUCUCUCGAGUUCCACCUUCAAUGUUACAUCCGGCAUUUUUGCAUGUUCGAAAAAAAAUUGAGAUAACUUGACUUGUAAUGAAUAAGGCCAUAUUUGGACCUUACUUGGUAUGAAUGUGUCGGCUAUGAAUAUAUAUUGGUGUGGAAUAACGAAAGGAGGCCAAGGGCAAAAAUUGGAAUUUUGAAAAUUUGCUUCAUGAAUUACAAAAUGUAACCAUUUGGACUCAAAAAAAUAUAAGAGAAAUGAGGCCCAACAAGGGGAAGCCCAACCGGCCAUAGGUUGGCCCAAACCCACAAAUUAUUAUGUGGUUAAUUAAUUAUAUAUGUGGAUAAGCUUGCUAGAAGCUUCAAGAAAAACAAAGAAAAAUCAAGAACAAAAAAAAAAAAAAAAAAAAGAGGUCACGGCUAGAGAGGAGAAAAAGAGAAAGAAGAAAGAUAAAAUUCUUGGAGCCUAAUCUUGGGUUCAAAAAUUCAUUUCUUGUGGGAUUAUUACCAAGCUCAAGAUUCUCUACAACUUGGUAUAAUUAUUUUGGCAAGAGGACAACUCUAGUGGCAAGUGAAGAAUUUGAAGAAAAGGUAAGAAUUUCAUGCCUUUGUUAUGUUAUGGAAGGUGUAUGCAUGUUGUAGAGUGUGGAAUUGAGUAAGGAGUAUGAAACUUGUGUGUUAUGUGUAUGAAUAUGUGUUGGCCGUGUGGGAGGUUUUGACCGUGUGUGUGUGUGUGUUGUAUACUUAUGAUGAGUCGAAUUUAUGUUAUAAUCUAGUUGUGGUGAUGAUGGAAUUUGUAUUGGAAAUGAAAGUUGAAUGAAUUAAUGAAAGUUGGAAAUUUUAGUGCAUGGCCGUGUGGAUGUAUAAAUAUGUGUGUGUGGCCGUGUAGUGCUAUAUGUUGGAGAGAACAUGGAUUUGUUAUAAUUAGUAUGUUAAUUGUGUGGUAAUCUUGUGAUGAAAAUGAGAAAAAGUGUUGUUAAUUGGUUGUCGGAAAGUAGAUGAUUUUAGUAUAGUUUAUGUGAUUAUGGGAAUGAAAUUGUAAGAAUAUGCUAUGGAUGUUUAUGCUAAAGAUUGGAGGUUGCGGGUGAAAUAUGCCCUUAGUAGGAAACUUGUAUAUCGCAUAUAUCUUAUGUGUAUUUGGUGAAAACGAUAUGAUAUGCCUCCGAUUCAUGUUGUAAUGAUCUUGAUGAGUGAUGAAUAUGAAAAUGGUAAGAUUGAUUUGAAAGUGUAAGGUCGGAAUGGAAGAUGUUAUGUUAUGCCGGAAAGAUGGCUAGUUAUGCCAUAUUAGGUGUCUUGUAAUGCUUGUUGUUGUUAUUGAUGUUGUUUCUGGGUUGCUGUGUUGAUAAAUUAAGCCGAGCUAAGUCUCGGGGAUGUUAUAUAUAUAGGGGAAAUGCUGCCGAAAUUUCGGUAGGCAAGUAUGUGAUAAAAUUUGGAUUCUUAAAGGCUUGAAUUUGACAAUUGGUAAACAUGACCAUUUGUAGAUUCUGGACGAAAUUGGAAUCGAAGCCAAGCGAGCGUAAGACGCAAUCGAGGUACAAUGAGGACAAAUGAUAAGAACCUGAGGAAUUUUGGUUGAAUCUGGAGGUGAUUCUGUGUGCAUGAGUCAACGAGAGGAUCUCGCGACCUUAGAAGAUUUUUUUGGACAACGGAAGGAAGAUGGGCAUUAGGCCCGCGUCGCCCAGAAGGCAAACACGCGUGAGACCCGUGUCGCGGGUAGUAGACGUGAAAAAUAGCUGCAGACCAAAGCAAAAUCAGAAAUCUCAGAGGAUACCCGCGUUGCACAUGCGACGUGGGUGUAACACAAGCGGACUGCCAGUUCUCCCGUUUUUAUUAGGAUCUGGUCUAAUUAUUUUUGUUUUAAACCCUAGACUAUAAAUAGACGUUUUAUUAGUUGUUAACCACGUGCUGGGAUUUUUGCUAAGACUUGUAAGCCGUCAUCUUUACUUUCUCUCUCUUGGUUUAUUUUAUUUUAUUCUUUUCAACCAUUCAUGAAUUCUUGUUCUUCAUUUAGAAUCAUGAGUAGCUAAACUUCUUAAUUCUAGAGUUGUGGCGAAAGACAUGAUAGUUGAUUUGACGACAAUUUCUAUCUAUUAAAUUUUUAUAUUUUG